CGAGUCGACCGGGCGGUCGCGUCGGCGGGCCGGGUGCCCGCCGCCGAGGAACGUCCGGACUCCACAGGGCAGGGUGGUUGUUAACGGCAACCCGGGGUGACCCGCGGGACAGUGCCACAGAAAACAGACCGCCGCGCCCAUCGGGCGCGGUAAGGGUGAAACGGUGGGGUAAGAGCCCACCAGCAUCCCGGGUGACCGGGAUGGCUCGGUAAACCCCACCCGGAGCAAGGCCAAGAAGGGCCGCCGACCGCGAGGACGGCAGCCUGCGCAGACGCUUGAGGGCGGCCCGCCCGAUGUCUGCGGGUAGGCCGCAGGAGCCUGCCGGCGACGGCAGGCCGAGAUGGAUGGCCGCCGCCGUCGCGGACCCCCAGGGGUACGCGGCGCGCACAGAAUCCGGCGUACAGGUCGACUCGUCCG
This 417-nucleotide RNase P RNA is filed under the name Micromonospora inyonensis. RNAcentral describes it as "Bacterial RNase P class A". It matches the Rfam family "Bacterial RNase P class A". Rfam says of the family: Ribonuclease P (RNase P) is a ubiquitous endoribonuclease, found in archaea, bacteria and eukarya as well as chloroplasts and mitochondria. Its best characterised activity is the generation of mature 5'-ends of tRNAs by cleaving the 5'-leader elements of precursor-tRNAs. The record is from Rfam by way of RNAcentral. Lineage: Bacteria; Bacillati; Actinomycetota; Actinomycetes; Micromonosporales; Micromonosporaceae.